GAUGAACGCUAGCGGCAGGCCUAAUACAUGCAAGUCGAGGGGCAGCACAGGUAGCAAUACUGGGUGGCGACCGGCGCACGGGUGCGUAACACGUAUACAAUCUACCUUUAUCUGGAGGAUAGCCCGGAGAAAUUCGGAUUAAUACUCCAUAACAUAGUGAAACGGCAUCGUUUUAUUAUUAAAGCUCAGGCGGAUAAAGAUGAGUAUGCGGAUGAUUAGCUAGUUGGUGAGGUAAUGGCUCACCAAGGCUACGAUCAAUAGGGGUACUGAGAGGUUAAACCCCCACACUGGUACUGAGACACGGACCAGACUCCUACGGGAGGCAGCAGUAAGGAAUAUUGGACAAUGGUGGCAACACUGAUCCAGCCAUGCCGCGUGCAGGAUGAAGGCGCUACGCGUUGUAAACUGCUUUUGUACCAGAGAAAACCUAUCUACGUGUAGAUAGCUGAUAGUAAGGUAAGAAUAAGCAUCGGCUAACUUCGUGCCAGCAGCCGCGGUAAUACGAAGGAUGCAAGCGUUAUCCGGAUUUAUUGGGUUUAAAGGGUGCGUAGGCGGACUUAUAAGUCAGUGGUGAAAUCUCGAUGCUUAACAUCGAACGUGCCAUUGAUACUGUAGGUCUUGAGUACAGAUGCCGUUGGCGGAAUGUGUCAUGUAGCGGUGAAAUGCAUAGAUAUGACACAGAACACCGAUUGCGAAGGCAGCUGACGAGACUGUAACUGACGCUGAAGGCACGAAAGCGUGGGGAUCAAACAGGAUUAGAUACCCUGGUAGUCCACGCCCUAAACUAUGAUUACUAGCUGUCGGCGAUAUACAGCCGGUAGCCAAGCGAAAGCGAUAAGUAAUCCACCUGGGGAGUACGCUCGCAAGGGUG
This 871-nucleotide ribosomal RNA is filed under the name uncultured bacterium. RNAcentral describes it as "bacterial SSU rRNA". It matches the Rfam family "Bacterial small subunit ribosomal RNA", at positions 28 to 896 of the family's 1533-position model. The record is from RNAcentral.